ACGAACGCUGGCGGCGUGCCUAAUACAUGCAAGUAGCACGCUGAAGGAGGAGCUUGCUUCUCUGGAUGAGUUGCGAACGGGUGAGUAACGCGUAGGUAACCUGCCUGGUAGCGGGGGAUAACUAUUGGAAACGAUAGCUAAUACCGCAUAAGAGUAGAUGUUGCAUGACAUUUGCUUAAAAGGUGCAAUUGCAUCACUACCAGAUGGACCUGCGUUGUAUUAGCUAGUUGGUGGGGUAACGGCUUACCAAGGCGACGAUACAUAGCCGACCUGAGAGGGUGAUCGGCCACACUGGGACUGAGACACGGCCCAGACUCCUACGGGAGGCAGCAGUAGGGAAUCUUCGGCAAUAGACGGAAGUCUGACCGAGCAACGCCGCGUGAGUGAAGAAGGUUUUCGGAUCGUAAAGCUCUGUUGUAAGAGAAGAACGAGUGUGAGAGUGGAAAGUUCACACUGUGACGGUAUCUUACCAGAAAGGGACGGCUAACUACGUG
This 494-nucleotide ribosomal RNA is filed under the name uncultured bacterium. RNAcentral describes it as "partial 16S ribosomal RNA". It matches the Rfam family "Bacterial small subunit ribosomal RNA", at positions 29 to 507 of the family's 1533-position model. The record is from RNAcentral.